UUCAAUUUCUUUUUCGUUCGACGUACGUAAGAAAUAAGAAUAUGUACAUAAUAAAAAUGUUUCCUUUCGUUAAAUUUUAUAUUACAGCGCUUAACAUCGUCGUCCUUCAUCUUUAUUGAAAGUUUGUCACCGUUGAACUUGAAAAAGUUAGUAUAAAUACAUUCGCAAGAAACUUCAAUGUUUCAGUCAUCCUGAUUGAGAAAUUCGUGUAAUAUUAUUCACGUCUUGAUUUUUUUUUUUUUUGACAAAAUUACCAAAGUGCUGCGGUCAUGAAUAAGUAUACGUUUUUGGCUAUUUUGUUUGUGGCACUUAUAGCUGUCACCACAAUUCAUCCGGUCCAUGGUCACAGUAGCGGAGCUGUAGGCAGAUAUUUGUUACAAAUUCUGAGGGAUAUAAAUCAAAUAAUUAUAGACUACGAAUACCUCAUUGAUGAUUCCUUCAAAAAACCUGGCCGGUUUUUCACUUAUAUGAUCGUAGAUCCGAUUAGAAACUCUAUAUUCAAGUUCUUCAAAUUCUUGAUCAAAACAUUCUUAUUGAGUUAAAUCACAAUGGUCUUAAGGGAAUGCGUACCUAAUAGACAGUUUCAGUACAUUACAAUAUAGAUAGGCCUAAUAAGAAUUAAUCGUAAACGUACAUCUACCUAUAAAAAACCUUCAUUAAAAAUGUUCUUCACUUUAUGUAAUUUAGACAAAUAAAUUAUGCUUAUACGAGUAA
Long non-coding RNA from Planococcus citri (citrus mealybug), 714 nucleotides. RefSeq lists it as uncharacterized. NCBI's taxonomy places the organism in Eukaryota, Metazoa, Arthropoda, Insecta, Hemiptera, Pseudococcidae. The record is from RefSeq and is a predicted model, not a curated record. The transcript has 2 exons.